GAUCAUGGCUCAGGAUGAACGCUAGCUACAGGCUUAACACAUGCAAGUCGAGGGGCAGCAUGACGAUAGCUUGCUAUUGUUGAUGGCGACCGGCGCACGGGUGAGUAACGCGUAUCCAACCGUGCCCUUGUCCAUCGGAUAACCCGUCGAAAGGCGGCCUAACACGAUAUGCAGUUCUCAGCAGGCAGUCUAACGAGAACGAAAUGUAAAGGAGAAGGAUGGGG
RNAcentral lists this ribosomal RNA (224 nucleotides) under uncultured bacterium. RNAcentral's name for it is "partial 16S ribosomal RNA". It matches the Rfam family "Bacterial small subunit ribosomal RNA", at positions 15 to 230 of the family's 1533-position model. The record is from RNAcentral.